Long non-coding RNA from Vitis riparia (riverbank grape), 695 nucleotides. RefSeq lists it as uncharacterized. Lineage: Eukaryota; Viridiplantae; Streptophyta; Magnoliopsida; Vitales; Vitaceae. The record is from RefSeq and is a predicted model, not a curated record. The transcript is spliced from 3 exons.
GGGAGUUCGAGAGGAAAUAAGAGGAGAACUGAGCAGUGGGAGAACCAUGAGGAAAGCUGACUUGCUUCAUGGAGGAGGCAAAAAGUGAAAGAGAUUACUGUUUGAGAGGAGGAACAUAAGCUUUAUAGCACGAUAACACUGAAACUUGGGAGAUAAAAGACACCAACCUGAAUCAAGGAGUAGUUUAUGGUGUGUGGGCGGACAAUACUGAAAUACAUGAAGAAUUUUGUAACAGUUUUGAUUAUGAUUUUGCGUUUACUAUGAACCUACUAGUUGGUGCUCCGCAGAACCCUACGCAAACCUCUGUGGGAACCACCUAACCAUGGAUUUACACAGAAAACUGAGUUUAUUGGAGAACCAUCUCAUCCGAAUUCGUCCACGAUCAGAUUGAGAACAAUAUGGAGUAUUCCCUAUGCGCAGUUGUCUUUUGAAGGCUAUUCUGGAUGUGUGAAUCCAAAGGGAGUUGAAAUGCCUAUCAGGAGAAUUAAGAAAAAAUAACAGUAGCACCACCAACACCAGCAUUGCAGUCUCAACUGUACCCACGAGCCCCAUUCCACCAUUGCCACAUUUGGUGCACCAUUCUCAAGUCCGCGACCCUUCCUUCCUCUUGGUGUACUUUUCCUAUCUUGGUGAGAAUUUAUAGGUUUUAAAAUUGAAUUUUCAAAACGGUUUUCAAUUGAAAUAAACCCAGUUUU